Molecule: long non-coding RNA, 3730 nt
Organism: Prinia subflava (tawny-flanked prinia)
Lineage: Eukaryota; Metazoa; Chordata; Aves; Passeriformes; Cisticolidae
Exons: 3
Source: RefSeq, a predicted model, not a curated record
GGGAGAUGUUCCCACAGCUGUUUGCAUCUGUGCUGUCCUGUGUGUCUUUGUUCUUCCUGCACUGCUGGAGGGGGCACUCAUUUAUUUGGGUUUUCCUUUUCAACCCCUGUGGGCUCAGGUGAUUUAGGCUCAGCCUAAAGGAGGUGAGUUUGUGAUAGCUGCUGUUGGGUUUCCCAGAGCUGGUUUGUUUAAUUUAGCUUUCAUGCAAUAAAAGUUGAUAAUUACUUUCUUCCAGGAUUUGGCAAGAAAAUGCUGAAGCAGAGUUCCCCUUCUUCUCUUGCUGAGAUGUUUCUGCUCCAAGUCCCUCAGUGCCUGAGGACUCCCAGGUGUUCCAAGGUGGCAGCAGCUGGAAAAUCCUGUUGUGUGUGAGGCAGCCAGUUGGGAAUGGUGCUGGGCUCUGGCUGUGGAAGGGCUGGGUGGGUGUGGGUCAGGGGAUGUGCAGUGAGAGCAGUGUGCUGCGGGGUGGGCAGGGCCUGGCUCUUGUGUCUGCCAGGGGCACUGGGAGAAAACCUGCCGUGUGCCCUGAGCUGCUUUGGUGUGUUGGAUCUCCUGUUUCCAUGGCUUUUCCCAAAGAGUGGGAAGAAAAAGCCAUUCCUCUGCUUUAGCUAAAAGUACACCUGGAAUUUUGCCCUCCUACAGAACUGCUGAGUUCUGUUGCUUUUCCUGGUUUGGGCAUACAGAGGAUGGGGGCAGAGGAUUUUGUCCCAUUUUGUGCCUCUCUGUUGUUUCAGCUCCUGCUCAGAAUAUGAACAGAGCCUUGUCUGCUCAAGGCCACUGGCAAGCAGGGGACAAAGAAGGGACCCAGAACCUCUUGGCCUCCUGGCAGAGAGAGAAGCAGCCGAUGGUGCUGGCAGAGCUGCUGCGAGUCCCUGCUGGAGUCUGGUUUGGUGCUGUCCCUUUGUCCCCCUGCAGGCCCCACUGGAGCGUGUCCAGGCUGUGCCACGUCUGUCCCCAGCUGGGUGCAGGCGUUUGCCCUUGGCAGGGUGCCCUGGGGGCUGAGGGCUGCCCCUGCCCUGCUGCUGGCAGGGGAGGCAGGGCUGGCACGGGGCAGCUCCUGCACUCCUGGCUUCCACAGGCUCCCGUGGUUCUCUCCAGGCUGUUCCAGGCUGCUGCAGCGCUCGGCCAAAGCCCUGGAGCCCCUGGGCUGUGGAUGGGCACUGGCUCCAGACAAAGGCCACUUGUGGAGGGCCUGGCCUCGGGGGCAUUCCUGGAAGGAGGAGGGCCCUGGGGUGAGAGCUGUGACCCCUGAGGUUGGAGAGGAGCCUGGCAUGGCACAGAGAGACUUGGAGAAAGCGUUUUCCAGCCUCACACUUGUGCUGAAAGGUCUGCAGCAGGGCUGAGUUUUGCAGAGAGGUGUGAAGGGUUUGUGAGAGCAGAGCAGGAAUGCAGAAAUCAGCUCCAGCAGGAUGAGCAGUGUCUGCUUCUGUUCCCAGAAGGCUGAACCCAACACUGAGCCCACAGCCUGUGGCCAUAAUUAACAGUAAUAAUUGUGCCUUUGUCUCUCCAGGCCCCUGGCACGUGUGGGACAAGAACUGACACAGAAUUUCCUGGGACCCUGGCAGAGAGAAGCAGCAAAUGGUGUUGGCAGAGUUUCUGUGAGUCCCUGUGAGAUCCUGGUCUUGUUACAGCUUAGGAAAGGAUCUGAAUGGGAAAACAGCUUGUUUGACAUGAAACCCUCACAUGGAACAUAAGAACAAGGUGAUGGGAUAAGACUUGUUGGAACCUAGAAAUAAGGUGAUGUGGAUAUUUUGGAUAGAGGCAAAGCAUCUGCAAACACGUGGCAGGAGACUCUGAAAGGUGAGUGCAGAGCUGAAGGACACAAGCAGGAAAACAUCUGGGGAUGUGUUUGGGUUUCUCAAGGUCUUGUAGAUUCCUGUCUGGAGUUGCCAUUUGUCAGUAGAGCUGGGUCAGGAUCCUUCAGUGGAAAGUCAGGAUUGUCUUGUGUUCCUGGCUUAUUACAGCUUGAGUUUUGCCAAGGAAGGGCAGCCUGCUCUUGCUGUUGUGUUGGGACAGGUGAGUGCCCUUUUGGCCCUCCUCCAAGGAGCAGAGGAGCCUGGGUUUGUGUCCCUGGGAUUGUCCUGACCUUCCAGACAAGGCCCAAGGUGAGUGCCAAGGCACAGGGGGUGCUCUGGGAGUCUGGAGGGGUUGGGCUCUUCUGUCCUGGUUCUGCUGAGGGGAUUGCUCAGGGCUGGACAACAGGCCCUGAGCCAAACCUUCCAACCACUGCUGUGUUUGUAUCCCCUCAUUAACAAAAGACACAGGAUCAUUAGUGUGGGCUCUGGGUGUCUGCUCGUUAACAAACACAGACUGACCUUUCUGUGUUGGGAAGCUGGAGAAGGCCAUGAGAUGAGAGCCCUGCUCUUGCUGGGAGCUCCAUGGCCCAAGGCAGCUCCUGGGUUGCUCCCUGAGCCCUGGCCAGGCUCUGGGAGGAAGCCAGGAGGGGCUGAGCCCAGCUGUUCCCGCCCUGACAGUGCUGGGAGCCUGUGGAUGGCACCCAGGGGUGCCAGCUGGGCCCUGUCCCAGCCCAGGGGGAGCCUCUUUGCCUGCGGGUGGACGCACCCGUGGGAAUUCCAGUUCUGGGAGGGGCUCUCAGUGCUGGGCUGGGACAGGGGCUCCCCAGCUGGGGCUCUGCAGGGUGGAGCAGCCUUAGGGGGUCCCUGGGGCUGUGUCUCAGUCCCUGUGGACAGUCCUGGGUGGCAGUGAUGAGGGGCAGUGCUGAGCUUCUCCUUAUGCUCUCUAGAGGGGCAAAGCAGAGGCUUAUUUCAAAAGCUUUGCAAAGGAAAAUGGCAACUGAAUUAGGUACAAGCCUCAAAAACAGGUAAAAUUUCUCUUCUAAUAAUGACAAUGUUAAAUUAAGAAAUGGAAUAGAUUUGGUAGAGUUUUAGAAGUUUAGGCAGUAUAAACUGCACAAAAUUGUAUCAGCAAGAUGGAAGAAAUAAGUUCAUUUCCCUCAAAUGACAGCUUUGGUUGAGGUGAUUUUUCUGGGCAGUUUUUCAACUUGAGUGGGAAUGAAAGUUUCCAAGGUGUGCUGAGAUCUGGUGUGACACUUGGUAGCUCAAGCCUCCUCCACAAUAGCAAGCUGAUGUUGGUGUUUUCACUUUCUUCUCAGGGAAGAAAUGACCUGAAGCUGUUCUUGUCUCUGGCAGUUGCAGGGCAGGCUUGGAUCUGUGCUCCAGCUGUUGUGGGGUGUGUGCUGGGUGGUUUUUAGGGAUGUGGUGGGCACUGGGCAGCAUUCCAGCCUGGAGAGCUGCUCUGGCUGUGCUGCAGGGCUGUCACAAACUCCUGGGUUCCUGCUCUGCUUCUGUCCCAGGGCAGAGCUGUCCUGCUCUUCCCAGCAGCCCUUCCUGUCUUGGGAAGUUGCUCCAUCCUGUGCUGGAGGGAGAGAUCUGGGUCGGGGCUGUGUUCUGCAUGCCUGGACUGGCCAAGGCUGUGGCUGUGGUUGGAAUAUUGCCCUGGAGAUCCUGGACAGGUGAGCGUCCCUCCCCUGGCAGGUGGAUCUCACAGGCUCUGGGUUGUGUGCCACACUCAGGCUGUGGUUUGCCCUGGGUUCCUUUUUUUUGGGCAGCAAUGGGCUGGAGAACUUGAAAUAACUUUGAAACAGAAGAAGUCACCUUUUUCUUCUUCUUUCUUUCAGGUGCUGGCCUUGCCUCUGCAGGUGUCUGCUGAGCUCUGGUUGCAGGGGACUGCCAGGCCUGAAUGGCUGUGAGUUUGUGUUCUUCCAGUUCUGGGG